GCUGGCUUUAGGGAGCUGGACAGCUGUUGCCAGGAGAUGGAUUCAAACAGAACAGAGAAAACGGAAUCCUGUGAUAAUGACUGUGCCUGUAUGUAUGGACACGAUGUUCUUUCUUCUCAUAGCUCAAAAUGUUCUAAAGAUAAAAUCUAAUGAUUUCUUAUAGGAAGGCUAGGCUUGGUGGGUACAAGUAAGAAAGCCAAGCAGAGAGAAGUCUGGACUUUGCCUUCUCCACCUCCUUGGAAGACAGGCUGCUCAUCCCAUUGUGGUGUCUCGGCUGGUGUAUGUUUUCUGCCUAGGCUUAAUGGACAGCACGAGGAGGUAGGGACUGACGUUACCCAUGUUUUACAGUGGAAGAACCUGAGGCUUAAAGAGAUCCUGAGCUUUAAAAUAGCUAGCCAAACGAAAACACCAAUGGAGACUCUUUGGAAGGGACUGUGCUCAGUCUGAGGACCCAGAGCCAAGUCACAGACAUGACCUCAAAAGCCAGUACUGUGCUCUUCCACAUGGCAUCCACUGGCCACGUGUGGUGAUUUAACAUGUGAAAUGAAGUCUCAAGGCUGAGAUGUGAUGCGAGUGUAUAAUACACACUAGAUCUCAAAAACUUAGUAGAAAUAAAAAAUGUAAAAUAUCAUAAAAAGAUUUUAAAACUACAUAAAAAGAAAAAAAAUUUCAAAAGAAAUAAAGACAACAAAACAAAAA
This is a long non-coding RNA of Homo sapiens (human), 699 nucleotides long. RefSeq lists it as uncharacterized. Lineage: Eukaryota; Metazoa; Chordata; Mammalia; Primates; Hominidae. The transcript has 4 exons. The record is from RefSeq and is a predicted model, not a curated record.